GAAUCGCCUUCGGCCCUGAAGGAAAUCUCCCCUGCGUUUCUGACCACAGUUGGAAAGAGAGAAAAGCAAAGAGAAGUCCCGGUUCAACAGGUGUUUCUCCACUAAACAAAAUGAAGCAAAGAAGAAUAUUUACCACGAGUCACCAGAAAAGGCAGCACCGAAGAAACGCAAGAUAGCAACAAGUGAAUAUAGAAGAUUUCAAACAGGCUGGUUCCACUCACCUCAUCUUCAUCCCCGCCUACUUAAGGAGAUCCAGGACCUGUUUUCGACGCCAGUCCGUUGUUCCUUCCACGGUGCUUAUGUCUGGCCAGCUCAUGUUUUGUGCCUUGUCUAAUCCCAGCCUCGUUAACUGUUCCUCUCUGCUCCACUCUCAGGAAUUAUCUGCAUCACGGGUGAACCUCGGGUCGCAGUCCACCGCUCACGCUCUCCUCCUUGGAUUCAGCCGAAGCCACGCACUCUGGACCUUCCUGCCGCAAACCUCCUGUCAGCUGCCACGCCAUUUCAAGAAUCCUACAAUCUACUCACCCUCUGUGAAUUAACCUCUCUUAAACUUA
Oryzias latipes (Japanese medaka) is the source of this 554-nucleotide non-coding RNA. The record is from RefSeq and is a predicted model, not a curated record. Lineage: Eukaryota; Metazoa; Chordata; Actinopteri; Beloniformes; Adrianichthyidae.